Zea mays is the source of this 132-nucleotide long non-coding RNA. RefSeq lists it as uncharacterized. The transcript is spliced from 2 exons. NCBI's taxonomy places the organism in Eukaryota, Viridiplantae, Streptophyta, Magnoliopsida, Poales, Poaceae. The record is from RefSeq and is a predicted model, not a curated record.
UUUUUUUCCCUUUUUUAUCGGUACUGCAGCUGCUGCUCCACCAAGAAUCAGAUAACUCUGCGCAGUUGUCCCAAAUUGACACGGAGCAACUGCUGGCCCAUCUAGUAGAAACAGAAAUGAUAAAGAGAACGA